RNAcentral lists this transfer RNA (65 nucleotides) under Dipodomys ordii (Ord's kangaroo rat). It matches the Rfam family "tRNA". Rfam says of the family: Transfer RNA (tRNA) molecules are approximately 80 nucleotides in length. Their secondary structure includes four short double-helical elements and three loops (D, anti-codon, and T loops). The record is from Rfam by way of RNAcentral. Lineage: Eukaryota; Metazoa; Chordata; Mammalia; Rodentia; Heteromyidae.
GGUGGCUCAGUGGUAGGGUGCUUGCCUUGCAUGCAUGAAGCCCUGGGUUCAAUUCCUCAGUACCA